AAUAAGGCAUUUGUGUGUUAUUGAAUGUGCAGAGAAUAGAAGUUUUGAAAGCCAAAUGUAUAUGUUUUGCAUCUUCCCAAGAAACACUUUUUUUAGAAGUUACUUCUUGGUUUCUCUUUCUUUCUUCAUUGCUCCUUUCACAAACCCUAACUUUCUAUUUCUCUCCCUCUUUCACAAACCCUACCAUAUCUCUUUCCCAUCCUUCUUCUUUCUAUGACUCUGCCUCUAUUUCUCUCUCUUUUCUCUGUCACCUCAAUCUCUUUUUUCCUCUUCUUCUUUUUUUCUUCAGAUCCAACGCUUCCAUGGAUACACUAUUUUUCGGUGAAAAGUGUGGAAAUCACGAGAAUUAGAAUCGCGGAAGAGGUUGUAUUUGUCUUUGAAAACAUUGAAGGAAUUAAGUCACCAAGCAGAAGUGAAAUUAGAGAAACGGCACCGUCGCCCGACAAACAGGAUUUAGACUGAAUCGAGUUUUAAUGAGACUUUUCCCAAGCGUGACAUUACUAUUGCUGAUGAAAGGUCAGUGGUCUCUAUUUCGAUUUUACAGUGCUUCGUAUUUGUUGUUUUGUGAUACUGACAACUAAAGUAACAAUGUUUGACAUUAGUAAGAAGAAGUAACAAUGUUUGACAUUAGUAAGAAGACAGUUGUUAUGUCUUUGUGGGGUGAUCUUGCAACCAACAUAGGACAAGAGUUGUUGGACAUGGUUGAUAAAUCUUCAGUAGUUGCAAUCAAAUCCGUGAAGGUUGUAUACUUUCAAGAUAUUGAAAUGUUAAACUGUGGUGAAAAAUAUGCGUGGAUUGCAAAAAACGAAGCAAGUUUCAUGGGCUUCGGAUUUGAAUCUUUGUCAGGUUGACAAACACAAUGAUGCGGGUCAAUCCAUCUUGAUUGAGCCUAAUUCUUCUUCUGUUUCCGCUCCGAAAGCUUCCAACUGCACUAAAAGUGUCAAAAGAACCAAACUUUUACAGCAGCUAAAAAAACAAGGCUUUUACUUAUUUUAAUUGAAGGAUAAUAUAGGAAUAACUUGGUUAAAUAAGAUGAAAUUAGUAGAGAUUUGAAUAUGCUGAUGUAUUGUAAUGUGAUAAGGUUCUUCAGUUUUAUGCGUUACUCUCUGUUGUUUCAGCUUGGAUAAGACACACUGUACUUGCACUACGGU
Vicia villosa (hairy vetch) is the source of this 1151-nucleotide long non-coding RNA. RefSeq lists it as uncharacterized. The transcript has 4 exons. NCBI's taxonomy places the organism in Eukaryota, Viridiplantae, Streptophyta, Magnoliopsida, Fabales, Fabaceae. The record is from RefSeq and is a predicted model, not a curated record.